AUUGAACGCUGGCGGCAUGCCUUACACAUGCAAGUCGAACGGCAGCGGACCUUCGGGUGCCGGCGAGUGGCGAACGGGUGAGUAAUAUAUCGGAACGUACCUUUCAGUGGGGGAUAACGUAGCGAAAGUUACGCUAAUACCGCAUAUUCUGUGAGCAGGAAAGCAGGGGAUCGCAAGACCUUGCGCUGAUUGAGCGGCCGAUAUCAGAUUUAGCUAGUUGGUGAGGUAAAGGCUCACCAAGGCGACGAUCUGUAGCGGGUCUGAGAGGAUGAUCCGCCACACUGGAACUGAGACACGGUCCAGACUCCUACGGGAGGCAGCAGUGGGGAAUUUUGGGACAAUGGGCGCAAGCCUGAUCCAGCCAUGCCGCGUGAGUGAAGAAGGCCUCGGUUGUAAGU
This 398-nucleotide ribosomal RNA is filed under the name uncultured bacterium. RNAcentral's name for it is "bacterial SSU rRNA". It matches the Rfam family "Bacterial small subunit ribosomal RNA", at positions 30 to 430 of the family's 1533-position model. The record is from RNAcentral.